This 245-nucleotide ribosomal RNA is filed under the name uncultured bacterium. Its description in RNAcentral is "partial 16S ribosomal RNA". It matches the Rfam family "Bacterial small subunit ribosomal RNA", at positions 524 to 768 of the family's 1533-position model. The record is from RNAcentral.
UACGGAGGUGGCAAGCGUUACUCGGAAUCACUGGGUGUAAAGGGCAAGUAGGCGGCUUAAUAAGUGAGGGGUGAAAUCUUCCGACUCAAUCGGAAAAUUGCCUUUCAAACUGUUAGGCUUGAGGUAGGAAGAGGGAAAUGGAAUUCUCGGUGUAAGGGUGAAAUCUGUAGAUAUCGAGAAGAACACCUGCGGCGAAGGCGAUUUCCUGGUCCUGUCCUGACGCUAAAUUGCGAAAGCUAGGGGAG